RNAcentral lists this long non-coding RNA (300 nucleotides) under Struthio camelus australis. Its description in RNAcentral is "lncRNA (ENSSCUG00000003031.1)". Lineage: Eukaryota; Metazoa; Chordata; Aves; Struthioniformes; Struthionidae. The record is from RNAcentral.
ACAAGCGAAGCGAGGGCGCAAGCCAGCGCGCCCGACGGGGACGGCUGAGCGUGACCCGCCGUGCCGCAGGUGCUGACUCCAGCCGCCGCAGACCCUCGCUUGGCGCUGACUCGCCAACGCCCAAAUCCACUCAGGACAGCCAAACAAUUUACCCAGUGACUCAUGAAGAUUGAGAUAUGGAUAAAAGCUAACUGCCUAUCUGUCCAGAAGUGGCUGAGAAGCUGUAAAAGACUGAAAUAGCCAGGAUUUGGAGAUGGGACUUCAGACUGUUCUUAAUAAAAGACUCGCCAGGAAUGUGCA